GAAGUCUUUCUGCACCUCUAGACGUCACCAGCUCUUCAACGCAAUAAACGGUUCGUCAAUUGGAGCUAUAUAGGCUCCAGAAUUAUAAAAAUAUUGUUUCAAUAGAAAACAGAAUCUCAAUCAAACCUAGAAUCAUCUGUGGCCGUCCGAUCGGCAUCAACUCACAUCAGAACCGUUCGAUCAUGCAAAACAAGGCCACUGAUCACCUAAUCAAGCCUGGAUUCAUCUUCAGCCAGCU
Molecule: long non-coding RNA, 238 nt
Filed under: Elaeis guineensis (African oil palm)
Lineage: Eukaryota; Viridiplantae; Streptophyta; Magnoliopsida; Arecales; Arecaceae
Description: long non-coding RNA (EGUI_LNC032779)
Source: RNAcentral